CUCACUUCUGCCAUCUUUUGAAAAGGUUGUUUUCAUGGUCAUUAAUUUUUCAAGCAUGUUUUACUCGGUCUAAGAGAACCGAAGUGGAAAUCAUGUCAAAUACAAGUCCAGUUGAAUAACCCAAUGUCUGUCUCAUACCCACUAAAUCUUAGCAAACAAGUGUCUCAUAUGGAUCUUAGGAAGUAGUAUAUUGAAAAAGCCUUGAAUAAACCUAGUUCUGCAUUUUAUAUUCACUGCUCUAUUUCUAGUUCCCAGGACAUGAACAACACCAAGAAUAAACAUCAUAGAAUGAUGGAAGGGAGAAACUAGAAACUUGCCUUGUUUGGCCAAAGUCUGGCAUUAACAGAUGAGCAUGCAGAUGGGAGCCCACAGGAGGAAGCAUACAUUCUUGGGGAACACACAUAUUGUGGAGAACUUACUAAAGGAGACAUAAACGGAAAUUGUGGAAGGAUCUUUCCCUUAUGGGUUCUAGAAUUUCUUCAUUAAUGGGGAAUGGAGGAGAGGAACACUUUGAAAAGGGUGCAUGAAGUGGGAGUCAGCAAAUAAGAAGUGGUACAAAGUUCUGUUAUUACUGGUCAGUACAUUUUA
RNAcentral lists this long non-coding RNA (588 nucleotides) under Rattus norvegicus (Norway rat). RNAcentral's name for it is "long non-coding RNA NONRATT032102". Lineage: Eukaryota; Metazoa; Chordata; Mammalia; Rodentia; Muridae. The record is from RNAcentral.